GACAGAGGGGGCAAGCGUUGCUCGGAAUUACUGGGCGUAAAGCGCACGUAGGCGGCUUUGUAAGUUAGAGGUGAAAGCCCAGGGCUUAACCCUGGAAUUGCCUUUAAGACUGCAUCGCUAGAAUCGUGGAGAGGUGAGUGGAAUUCCGAGUGUAGAGGUGAAAUUCGUAGAUAUUCGGAAGAACACCAGUGGCGAAGGCGACUCACUGGACACGUAUUGACGCUGAGGUGCGAAAGCGUGGGGAGCAAACAGG
Molecule: ribosomal RNA, 253 nt
Filed under: uncultured bacterium
Lineage: Bacteria
Description: partial 16S ribosomal RNA
Rfam family: Bacterial small subunit ribosomal RNA
Source: RNAcentral